This 292-nucleotide ribosomal RNA is filed under the name uncultured Verrucomicrobiota bacterium. RNAcentral's name for it is "uncultured Verrucomicrobia bacterium partial 16S ribosomal RNA". Lineage: Bacteria; Pseudomonadati; Verrucomicrobiota. The record is from RNAcentral.
GGACUACUGGGGUUUCUAAUCCCGUUUGCUCCCCUGGCCUUCGUGCCUCAGCGUCAGUAACUGUCCAGAAACUCGCCUUCGCCACUGGCCUUCCUUACGAUCUCUACGCAUUUCACUGCUACACCGUAAAUUCCAGUUUCCUCUCCAGUACUCUAGCAUGGCAGUAUCCAAUGCAGUUCCAGGGUUGAGCCCCGGGAUUUCACAUCAGACUUGCCUUGCCGCCUACGCACCCUUUACGCCCAAUGAAUCCGAACAACGCUCGAGACCUCUGUAUUACCGCGGCUGCUGGCAC